This 74-nucleotide transfer RNA is filed under the name Candidatus Saccharimonadota bacterium. Its description in RNAcentral is "tRNA-Arg". It matches the Rfam family "tRNA". From Rfam's summary of the family: Transfer RNA (tRNA) molecules are approximately 80 nucleotides in length. Their secondary structure includes four short double-helical elements and three loops (D, anti-codon, and T loops). The record is from RNAcentral. Lineage: Bacteria; Candidatus Saccharimonadota.
GGGCUGUUAGUUUAACGGAAAAACACGGGGCUUCUAUCCCCAUGAUGAGGGUUCGACUCCUUCACAGCCUUCCA